Felis catus (domestic cat) is the source of this 1723-nucleotide long non-coding RNA. RefSeq lists it as uncharacterized. The transcript has 4 exons. NCBI's taxonomy places the organism in Eukaryota, Metazoa, Chordata, Mammalia, Carnivora, Felidae. The record is from RefSeq and is a predicted model, not a curated record.
UCUCUCUCUGCCCCUCCCCCGUUCAUGCUCUGUCUCUCUCUGUCCCAAAAAUAAAUAAACGUUGAAAAAAAAAUAUUUAAAGAAGUAUGUUAUGAGAAACGUCAACUAUUUCUAGUAUCUCUAUCUGUACCAACAUUAGGAAGAGAAAGGUAGAAAGGGAGAACCAAAAAAAACAAAAAAACAGGAGUGAGCCUUUUUCUCUGUGGAUGAGAAGACCAUUCCUACAGGUUGUGCUUGUGUGUAAAGAAUACAAUCUAAGUCGCCAUUUUGAAUUCACCAUUUCAUUCAUUUUCAUCACCUACGUCAGCAUUUGCCACCCUGGCUUGAUGUCUGCCUGUCCCAGAAUGUGUUCUCCAACACAUUGCUUGAAGUGUUCUCCUUCACUGCUUGAAUAUUUUCUCUUGUCUGUUAUGCUGCUCGAAAUGUAGAGAUUAAUUUGGGUUAAGAAGCACUCCAUGUUUAGAUAUCAAUCCCCCCUGGGAAGGUUGGGAUGAGAGCACAGUCUUCAGUAUUAGACUGCCUGGAUUCAAAACCCAGCUCCAUCACUGACUAUAGCAUACUGACCUUGGGCAAGUUAUUUAACCUCUCUGUGCCUCAAUUUCCUCAUUUGUGGAGUGCAAAUAAUAGCACCUGUUUCCCAGGAUUGUUGGGGCUCUAAAGAGUUGAUGCAUGCCGAGAAUAGCGCUCGGCGGGGCGCCUGGGUGCCUCAGUCGGUUAAGCAUCCGACUUCAGCUCAGGUCAUGAUCUCGUGGUCCGUGAGUUCAAGCCCUGCAUUGGGACCUGUGCUAACAGCUCGGAGCCUGGACCUGUUUUGGAUUCUGUGUUUCCCUCUCUCUUUGCCCCUCCCCCACUCACUCUCUGUCUCUCAAAAAAGAAUUAACAUUAAACAAAAAGUAUAGUGCUAGGCACACAGGAAAGCACUGUAUAAGUGUUGGCUCUUUAUUGUGCUUAGGUGUUCACGCAUUAUUUAAAUCAAAUCUUAUUCUCCGUUGUCUGGCUGCAGAUGCCUCAUUAAGGGAAGAGAAGGUGAGCGGUUGAUGACUAGAUGAGCAGGAGCUAGGAAUACGGGAAGGGGGAGGAGUUACAGAGGGGAUGGAGAGGAUAAAAAACAUUAAGGACUUUGCAGAGUGAGUAAGCCUGCAUGAGAUGCUAUAUAGUUGCAGUCUUUGGGCCACUAGAAUAAAGUAUAUUAGAAAAUGGAAGAGAAGAAACGAAAGGAAGUGAGAAAUAAAUAUAAAAAAAAUAAAUAGCACACUUUUCAGAGCCUUGUCUAGUUUGACUUGUGUCUAGAAAAGGGGGCAGAAAUUCCUUUUCCUCCUCUUACUCUUGGGCUGGUGUCAUGAUUUAACUACAGCACGAAUGAAAUAAGAGUGUUGUGGGCAAACCCGAGAUCCCAACCAUCAUUUAUAAUGUUUCAACAGGAAAUCUUUUCUGAGUUCCAAAUAACAGGCUUCAGUGAUCUUUUGGAAGAGGAUCCAUGUUUGCUGCAACAACAACCUGGAUCAUAAGGAUUCUUCAUUGAUAAAGAUUAGUUUUUACAAUCUUCCCUGAAUUUCCAGGAAUUUAGCAGACAAUAUUUAAUGAGCAGUCCCGUAUAUCUCCUUGAACUUCGUCACAGCAUUUUUGUAGGACAAGUAUCUAUGUGUGAAAUUGCUGGGUCAAAGUGUUUAUUUUUUGAGAGAGAUAAGAGUGUGAGCGGGGGAAGGGCAGAGAGCCAGGCACA